RNAcentral lists this long non-coding RNA (230 nucleotides) under Trifolium pratense (red clover). Its description in RNAcentral is "long non-coding RNA (TPRA_LNC013544)". Lineage: Eukaryota; Viridiplantae; Streptophyta; Magnoliopsida; Fabales; Fabaceae. The record is from RNAcentral.
GCAGAAAUAUGAAUCAACAAAUGUAUCCUAUGAUGCCUAUGGUACAUCCGAUGAUUCAACCGAUGCACCUACAACCCAUAUACCCAAUGUAUGGACUACAACCUGGAAUGCAACAAGGAAUGCAACAUGGAACGAAUGUUGGUCAAAGUUCAUGUUAUGGUCUGCUACAACAUGUUAUGAAAUAUGCUAAGAAUGAUUGACUAUUUUGAGUAGAUUUGAAUGUAUUUUGG